RNAcentral lists this ribosomal RNA (254 nucleotides) under uncultured bacterium. Its description in RNAcentral is "partial 16S ribosomal RNA". It matches the Rfam family "Bacterial small subunit ribosomal RNA", at positions 524 to 776 of the family's 1533-position model. The record is from RNAcentral.
UACGUAGGGGGCAAGCGUUGUCCGGAUUUAUUGGGCGUAAAGAGCUCGUAGGCGGCUCGGUAAGUCGGAUGUGAAACCUCCAGGCUCAACCUGGAGACGCCAUCUGAUACUGCCGUGGCUUGAGUCCGGUAGAGGAGCAGGGAAUUCCUGGUGUAGCGGUGAAAUGCGCAGAUAUCAGGAGGAACACCAAUUGCGAAGGCAGCUCGCUGGGACGUUACUGACGCUGAGACGCGAAAGCGUGGGGAGCAAACAGG